Long non-coding RNA from Astyanax mexicanus (Mexican tetra), 4358 nucleotides. RefSeq lists it as uncharacterized. The transcript has 5 exons. The record is from RefSeq and is a predicted model, not a curated record. Lineage: Eukaryota; Metazoa; Chordata; Actinopteri; Characiformes; Acestrorhamphidae.
GUAAGAACAUUCCAGAGAAGAUCAGGGGAGAUGAUUUUAUAAUACGGAAUGAGAAGAAUAAUCUAGAACAGUGUAAAUAAGCAGAACGUUCUAGAGCAGUGUGGAAAGGGAGCGUCAUAUUGAGGGGGUGAUUCUCGAACAGGGUGAAUAAACUGAAUGUUUUAGAAUGGAGAAUAUACUAGAACCGUGUGAACAGAGGAGAACGUUCUGAAGAAUUAUAGAGAACGUUCUAGAUCACGAACAGCAGAUCAGGCCAGUCCAGCAGAACGUGGGUCGGUGUUCUCUGGGAUUAACACUUACAGACACUUCCUGCGGUGAGGUCCGAACGUUCUAGAGUGUUCUGGUGUUCUAGUGGAGAUGAGCAGAACCGAGCUGCUGGAUUAGAGUGAAUAAUGAAGAAGGGAUGAGUUCUGACUCGGUUCUUCUCAGUAUUAAUAUUCAGGGUGAGUACUGCACCAAUCUGAAGUAAUAAAGAGUAAUGAAAGAUUCAGUGCAGGGGUUUGGACGGGGGUUAUGAUCGGGGCACAUCCAGUUAAAGGAGAGUAAUAUGGUUUUGGGAUUACAGAUUACGAUUAGGGUUUUGGGAUUAGAGUUAUGAAUGUCUGGACACAAGGGAUAAAGUUUGAACCCUUAAUAUUAGUAAUUAAUACAGAUUACACUGCAGUUACAUCUGGAUUAUUUAGCCAUUUAACAUUCCUUGAUCCACAGUGUCAUGUGACACUGACAAUGUUCGGCAUCAGCAGCCGGAGUCAGAGAGAAUACAGUUGGCACUAAACACUAUAAAUGCUGUAGUUCACGUUAAAGGCGGCUCUUUUUCUGGCUAUUCCAGAACGUUAGCAGUUUCCGAGAGCUGAGGUAAAAACAGACCAAUCAGUUCUGAUUUACAGUAACAAUAAGAUAAACAUUAUCAGGACAGAGAUGAUUUUAAUAGAGUAGAACAGAGUUUUGGAGCUUCAGAGCUCAGACUGCUGAUGAUAAUAUCCGACGGACCAAUCAGACGACUUUAAAAUAAACUUUAUUCUAAAAUUAGAAUCAGAGAAAUGAAGACGAGGCGUUGGAGCACAAACCUCAUUAUACAAACCUCAAUAUACACAGAGUACAUCCAAACUGAUUUAAACACCCACUCUAAUGAUUACUGCCAGAUUCAGCUACUUCAACUGCUGACACUGAUGUGCAAAUGCACACAUACCAUACCACAUAGCUUAUCUAUUUCCUGUGGCAGGCUGAGUAAAAUGAACAUUGUUGUUUUAUUCUAUAAACUACAGACAACAUUUCUCCCAAAUUACAAAUAAAAAUAUUCUCAUUUAGAGCAUUUAUUUACAGAAAAUGAGAAAUGACUGAAAUAACAAAAAAGAUGCAGAACUUUCAGACCUCAAAUAAUGCAAAGAAAACAAGUUCAUAUUCAUAAAGUUUUAAGAGUUCAGAAAUAAUCAAUAUUUGGUGGAAUAACCCUGGUUGGUUUUUAAUCACAGUUUUUUUUUUCAUGCAUCUUGGCAUCAUGUUCUCCUCCACCAGUCUUACACACUGCUUUUGGAUAACUUUAUGCUGCUUUACUCCUGGUGCAAAAAUUCAGGCAGUUCAGUUUGGUGGUUUGAUGGUUUGUGAUCAUCCAUCUUCCUCUUGAUUAUAUUCCAGAGGUUUUUAAUUUGGUAAAAUCAAAGAAACUCAUCAUUUUUAAGUGAAAUCUUAUUUGUUCAGAGCUGUAUCUAUUGAAUAAGGAGACCAACCUGUUUGGAACAGAACUGGGAGUUCUCGUAACGCUCAACACAGAAUCUGUUCAAGAAUAAAGUCCCACCCUUUAACUAAACGAGCCAAUCAGCUUCCUGCCAAACCUGCAACCCAACUAAAGCGGAGAAAAAGCCAAAAAGAUGAAAUAUCAUGUUUUUUUUUAUUGCAUUAUGGAGCCAAAUGCUACAAACUCAUGAGGUUUAGAGGAUCUAAUGUGUCCUCAGAUACAGUAGAACAGAGAGGAGGCUGGUGUUAUUCGUAUUAUUGGCAAAUUAUUGAUUUCACUAUAAAGAAUUCUGUAUUAAUCCUCUUUUUAGGAUACAGGAAUGAUUUAAGCAUUUGGAAGGUGAUCAUUUAAUAUUAUGAUCACUAGAAAAGCCUUUUGUUUUUCCUGGAAAACAGAAGCAAAAUAGCAUAAUACACAUUUAUCACAUGUGUACUAACAUUUAUUACAUACUGUAAUUACUGUAAUUACAUAUUUUAACCCAAAGCAUUGCUGCAUUCCUCAUUGACUCUUUAUAAUUCAUUAAUAAACAGGUAAAAAAAUCGAUCACUGCAGGUUUUAGAGGGACGUGAGGAUGCUCUAAUUCCAGCUUCUCCUCCGGUGCUUUAACAUCAUACAGGGGCUAUAGCUCUCCAGCUAGCUGGUUGCUACGCUGUUGCUAGGAGACGGGUUUAGCAGCAUCUGCGGGUCCACGGUCUUCGCUGAUGCACAGCUUCAGAAGGGCGUUAUAGAAAGGUCGUUUAGUCAUACAUUAGCGCUAGCGCAGAAUUAGCCGCAGUCAGAUUCCUCUUCUUAUGGAUUUAUGUAACAUCCGAUUAGCAUUUACAUUAGCUAGCAUGCAGCGCUGCUCUCGACACCACUGGAACAUCAGAACCAGACCAGCAUAUAUUUACAUACACACACAUAUAUAUACACACACAUAUAUACACAUACACACACACACACACACACAAUGCAUUAACACACACUCAAUAGGUCCAAUGCUAAAUCUGUGUUCAUGCAAUUGUUCAAUUGUAUGCUAAUUUGUUUUUCCCUCAGACUCUCUCGCCCAUUCUCUCUCUCCUUUUUUCUUUCUUUCUAUCAUUCUGUGUGUGUGUGUGUGUGUGUGUGUGUGUGUGUGUGUGUGUUACAGUGGGUGGAGGUUCAGGACUGAAUCUGAGUUUGAGAUCAGACUGAUGUUCUAUUGUUCCACAUUCGUCCCCGUUCUGCCUCCUCCCCACAGCCAGCAGAACUACAUUACCCAUCAUGCACCAGCAUCUGAUUACCCAUCACCACCCUGUAGGAGAGCACUACUCUCUGCCUUGUCUGACUCCACGCAGACUGACCUGAUCUGACCACAUCACGAUCAAUAUCAGAUCUGAUCAGUGUCAGAUUAUUAAAUCUAAUCAAUUGGAUUAUCAGAUCUAAUCAGUAUUGGAUUAUGAUUAUGAUAUCUGAUCAGUGUUAAUUUAUCAAGUCUAAUCAGUGUUGGAUUAUCAGAUCUAAUCAGUAUUGAAGUAUUAAAUCUGAUCAGUGUUUGAUUAUAAUGAUCAAAUCUGAUCAGUGUUGAAUUAGCAAAUCUGAUUAGAACUAAAUUAUCAAAUCUAAUCAGUGUUGGGUUAAAACAUUUGAUCAUUGUAAGAUUAAUUCUUAAGUCUGUUCAGUGUUCGAUGGAUUAAAAUGUCUGAUCUGAUCGUUGGAUUACAGACUAAUCUGUCUUGGAUUGGUAAUCUAGAUCUGAUGAGUGUAAUAUAGAUAGAUAUCUGAUAAGCACUGGAUUAAACAGGUCAGUAAGUGAUAAACAACUCUAAUCAAUGUUGGGUUAACAGCUCUGUUAGUACUUGAUUGGUCAACCAUAUAUGAUCAGUGUUGGAUUGAUUAAUCAGGUCUGAUCAGUGAUGGAUUGUGGGAUUGAUUAAUCAGGUCUGAUCAGUGAUGGAUUGUGGGAUUGAUUAAUCAGGUCUGAUCAGUGAUGGAUUGUGGGAUUGAUUAAUCAGGUCUGAUGAGUGAUGGAUUGUGGGAUUGAUUAAUCAGGUCUGAUCAGUGAUGGAUUGUGGGAUUGAUUAAUCAUGUCUGAUGAGUGAUGGAUUGUGGGAUUGAUUAAUCAUGUCUGAUCAGUGAUGAAUUGUGGGAUUGAUUAAUCAUGUCUGAUGAGUGAUGGAUUGUGGGAUUGAUUAAUCAUGUCUGAUCAGUGAUGAAUUGUGGGAUUGAUUAAUCAGGCCUGAGAUCAGACAGUCUGCAGGAGUCAGUCUACGCUUAGCCGUACACGCUGUUAGCGAAUCAGACGGUUUCUUUUUUAUUUUUUUCAUUAACGCUUUGUGUUUGUCCCUCUGGCCCCGCCCCCUCUCUCUCUCAUUGGCGUAGCUGAUCACUCCUCCGUGUGUUUCUGUGUAAAUAACCUACAGAUGUAAAUACUCUCUAUUUUUUGACUGAGUGUCAGUGUGAAUAAUCCUCGUUCAGUAUUCGAUACGACAGAAGGUUUAUGGAAGUGUUUGCAUUUCUCUCUUUCUGUCACGGUCACGCCCCCUCCCCUAUUCUGGCCCCUCCCUCUGUUCAGUCUAUCUGGGUGCAUCUCGUAGCUUUAACUCCGCCUCCUACAGCGAUUUCUGUGAGAUCUUAACGUGUUUAAAACUCUGCUGCAGUACCC